Molecule: long non-coding RNA, 1643 nt
Organism: Sycon ciliatum
Lineage: Eukaryota; Metazoa; Porifera; Calcarea; Leucosolenida; Sycettidae
Exons: 3
Source: RefSeq, a predicted model, not a curated record
CUACGGCGUACGAAAGUAGGUAGGAUCCACCUAAAUUGGCACCGAGGAAAUGUUCGUGGAGCCGUCUGUAACGCCGGGUAGCCACGAUCGGCGCUGGGCUGAUUUGACGACAUUCGCAGAGAACGUGCGUCGCCUGGUUAUAUGCUCGCACCCGGACCCCAUGGGACGAACACAUGACGCAAGUAUAAAAUCGCCACUGACCUCGUGUUGGGAAACAGAUCCUUCUCCAUUGACUAACGUUAGCCCUCUGAGCCAAGACAUAUCACUUUAGUCAGGAGAAGCUUGAUAUCUGGUCGGAACAAAACAAUCCCGAUCUCUUUUCCUAUUAAAAAUUCUGUAUGGUUACUCACUCCUCAAACUGUUGUGAACGAUAUACUUUGAGCAUAUUAGAACAAUCGUGGGCGCUGUUGCACAAUUAGUGUUCAGACAAGGCAAAGAACGUGGGAACUUUGUAAAGUUGCACCUUUCAGCAUUUUUUACAGCACUUGAAGUGGAGCAGCUGACGGCACCUGGAACUGAGGGGAAAACAGCGAGAUCGUUUCAUUCUAUCGACGAGAUUAUACCAAGCCUGCGCUGAGCAAGGCUAUAAAGUUGUCACUGAAGGCCUUCAUUAACGAGGUGUCUUCAUCGAGCGGGAUAGAUCGAGCAACUCAGAACUUCUACCAGCGCUAACUGCCUUCGCACAAUUCGAUCACGUCGAGAUCAUCCAAAGCCCCCUAGCUUUACUACGGCGACGUCUUACUUUACCUAAGAUUACGAACAGGAAUGGAGCUGGUUACGUUUCGCCAAGGACUGGCUCUAGUCCUCGUGUUGGCAUUCAGCCAAUGCUGUCUGGUUUCAACGAAGUGUCAUAACCCCUCGCCCAGGAUUCGUAGAUUCUGUGCACAUAGCAAUAACCAUCAUCAUUGCAGAAACAUUAAAUUUUGCAAGAACACAACUAACGAAAGCGUUGAUAAUGUGAUCGCGGCUCAUAAUCACACGGACGAGAACGACACCAUCGCCAUAGCUUCGUCGCAGCAGCAGAACCUGUCACCGACGCGCGGUUCUCCUCUGCCCACUAUCCCUUCAACAACGACUGGAUGCAGGCACCGACGUUGUCGACUCGUCAAGCGCGACUACAAAGUCAAGUUCGGUCAAUGCACGUUCGACGUCGCCCUCCGACGGUGCGCUGGUAAAUGCUGUUCGGAGACCAGGCCGGUAGUCGUGCCAGAAAGCAUUCCAACGAACCAGCUCUCUAUUGGAGAUUUCUUCACAGCUAGAGGAGCGUGCUGCAAAGCAACACAGACGAGUCAUUUCACGGUGACGAGAGAGUGCAAAGGAGCCGAAAUCACUGUACGGCUCACGGAAGCCAAGGCUUGUCAAUGUUCAUAAUAUGCAACUCAAUCUCUGACCUAUUCCCCCCGAGAGAUCGUCUCAUCUUUACGAACAUAAACUCAAUACGCUGCAAUAUGAAACUAUACAGUAUACUUCGAAGUACUCAUAACUUGUCUUCUCGAUUAUCCUCAUUUUAUCCACGUUGAUUCCCAAUGCUAUAACAGUGACUGGCGGCAUCUUGAGACCUAAGUUUAUAUCCUAUUUCCAACUUGAUUUCUUCUGAACGACACCAUACCUCCUCAAAUAUGCAGUACGUUGCGUUUACUCAA